Molecule: long non-coding RNA, 329 nt
Filed under: Populus trichocarpa (black cottonwood)
Lineage: Eukaryota; Viridiplantae; Streptophyta; Magnoliopsida; Malpighiales; Salicaceae
Description: long non-coding RNA (PTRI_LNC002136)
Source: RNAcentral
CUCAGAAAGCGCAGGACCAUAGCCCAACACCUCCCCAAGAACAGUUUUCAACGUAGCUUGUUUGACACGAUUCCCUUCAUUGGUAUUUUUACUAGGCACUGAAGAUUUCCCACCCUUAUUUUUCCCCUGUUUUUCUUUCAUAGGUUUAUCAGACACAUUACUGUCACCACCAUCAGCAUCAACUUUCAUAGGUUUAUCAGACACAUUACUGUCACCACCAUCAGCAUCAACUUUCACAGGGUUACUAUUUUCCAGUUCCUUAAGAGAUGUUAGAGCCUUCUGCAACUUCUCAGCUGUCGAUCGCUCAAAAACUCGGCAAAUUUCAGUAG